Molecule: transfer RNA, 73 nt
Filed under: Bos taurus (domestic cattle)
Lineage: Eukaryota; Metazoa; Chordata; Mammalia; Artiodactyla; Bovidae
Also listed under: 3 other names
Rfam family: tRNA
About the family: Transfer RNA (tRNA) molecules are approximately 80 nucleotides in length. Their secondary structure includes four short double-helical elements and three loops (D, anti-codon, and T loops).
Source: Rfam by way of RNAcentral
UCCCUGGUGGUCCAGUAGCUAAGACUCCACACUCCCAACACAGGGGUCCCAGGUUCGAUCCCUGGUCAGGGAA